RNAcentral lists this non-coding RNA (29 nucleotides) under Mus musculus (house mouse). Lineage: Eukaryota; Metazoa; Chordata; Mammalia; Rodentia; Muridae. The record is from RNAcentral.
UUCUUUCUUGGAGAAGAAGAGCUGGUGUC